AUUUCAAAGACAGCUAGGAUGUUGGCUCAGAAGCAGCCACACAUUCAAAGAGUGCGUAAUAGCUCACUAGUCGAGAGGU
Molecule: non-coding RNA, 79 nt
Filed under: Lachnospiraceae bacterium A4
Lineage: Bacteria; Bacillati; Bacillota; Clostridia; Lachnospirales; Lachnospiraceae
Description: Bacterial large subunit ribosomal RNA
Rfam family: Bacterial large subunit ribosomal RNA
Source: Rfam by way of RNAcentral